RNAcentral lists this ribosomal RNA (253 nucleotides) under uncultured bacterium. RNAcentral's name for it is "partial 16S ribosomal RNA". It matches the Rfam family "Bacterial small subunit ribosomal RNA", at positions 524 to 776 of the family's 1533-position model. The record is from RNAcentral.
GACGAACCGUGCGAACGUUGUUCGGAAUCACUGGGCUUAAAGGGCGCGUAGGCGGGCUCGCAAGUCAGGGGUGAAAGCCCGCGGCUCAACCGCGGAAGCGCCUUUGAUACUGCGGGCCUCGAGGGGGGUAGGGGCGUGCGGAACUUCCGGUGGAGCGGUGAAAUGCGUAGAUAUCGGAAGGAACACCGGUGGCGAAAGCGGCGCGCUGGACCCCUUCUGACGCUGAUGCGCGAAAGCCAGGGGAGCAAACGGG